UACGGAGGGUGCAAGCGUUACUCGGAAUCACUGGGCGUGAAGGGCGCGUAGGCGGCCUAGCAAGUCUGGUGUGAAAGCCCAGGGCUCAACCCUGGAAGGGCACUGGAAACUGUUAGGCUUGAGUUCCGGAGAGGAGGGGGGAAUUCCCGGUGUAGCUGUGAAAUGCGUAGAGAUCGGGAGGAAUACCGGUGGCGAAGGCGCCCCUCUGGACGGAAACUGACGCUGAGGCGCGAAAGCGUGGGGAGCAAACAGG
Molecule: ribosomal RNA, 253 nt
Filed under: uncultured bacterium
Lineage: Bacteria
Description: partial 16S ribosomal RNA
Rfam family: Bacterial small subunit ribosomal RNA
Source: RNAcentral